UUUUUUGGACAUAUUCUAGAUCUGUUUGUUGUAAUUGUUAAAAUGCUAUUUUUAAUUUCUUUUAUUGAGAUGAGAUAAAAAGAUGAAGAAGGUACGGUGGAAGUUUAGUUUUUGCAGAUCGAAGUAUGGAGGAAGAUGGGAUAAAUGCACAGGGAGGGAGAGAGAUAAUCUAUUGGUAGUGAAAUGGGUUGAGGGAAUUUUUUGUUUUGAAUCAUGCAUUGAUUCAACAUGGAGAUGAAGACGGUGGUGACCGAAAUUUCAGGAGAUCAAACUUGGGGA
This 279-nucleotide long non-coding RNA is filed under the name Trifolium pratense (red clover). RNAcentral's name for it is "long non-coding RNA (TPRA_LNC000141)". The record is from RNAcentral. Lineage: Eukaryota; Viridiplantae; Streptophyta; Magnoliopsida; Fabales; Fabaceae.